UACGGAGGGGGCGAGCGUUGUCCGAAGUUACUGGGCGUAAAGCGCGCGUAGGCGGGUCGAAAAGUCCGCUGUGAAAGCCCGAGGCUUAACCUCGGCGGGUCGGUGGAUACUGUCGGUCUUGAAGGUGCUAGGGGGAGAUGGAAUUACCGGUGUAGCGGUGAAAUGCGUAGAUAUCGGUAGGAACACCAGUGGCGAAGGCGGUCUCCUGGGGCAUUCUUGACGCUGAGGAGCGAAAGCCAGGGGAGCAAACGGG
This 253-nucleotide ribosomal RNA is filed under the name uncultured bacterium. Its description in RNAcentral is "partial 16S ribosomal RNA". It matches the Rfam family "Bacterial small subunit ribosomal RNA", at positions 524 to 776 of the family's 1533-position model. The record is from RNAcentral.